This 489-nucleotide ribosomal RNA is filed under the name uncultured bacterium. Its description in RNAcentral is "partial 16S ribosomal RNA". It matches the Rfam family "Bacterial small subunit ribosomal RNA", at positions 30 to 507 of the family's 1533-position model. The record is from RNAcentral.
AUUGAACGCUGGCGGCAGGCCUAACACAUGCAAGUCGAACGGUAACAGGAAACAGCUUGCUGUUUCGCUGACGAGUGGCGGACGGGUGAGUAAUGUCUGGGAAACUGCCUGAUGGAGGGGGAUAACUACUGGAAACGGUAGCUAAUACCGCAUAACGUCGCAAGACCAAAGAGGGGACCUUCGGGCCUCUUGCCAUCGGAUGUGCCCAGAUGGGAUUAGCUAGUAGGUGGGGUAACGGCUCACCUAGGCGACGAUCCCUAGCUGGUCUGAGAGGAUGACCAGCCACACUGGAACUGAGACACGGUCCAGACUCCUACGGGAGGCAGCAGUGGGGAAUAUUGCACAAUGGGCGCAAGCCUGAUGCAGCCAUGCCGCGUGUAUGAAGAAGGCCUUCGGGUUGUAAAGUACUUUCAGCGGGGAUGAAGGGAGUAAAGUUAAUACCUUUGCUCAUUGACGUUACCCGCAGAAGAAGCACCGGCUAACUCCGUG